Arachis ipaensis is the source of this 210-nucleotide non-coding RNA. NCBI's taxonomy places the organism in Eukaryota, Viridiplantae, Streptophyta, Magnoliopsida, Fabales, Fabaceae. The record is from RefSeq and is a predicted model, not a curated record.
CGAUAUUCUAUUUGUGCUUAUCAAUGGUUUUGUUGAGAGAAAGCAGUUUUCUGCUGACAUCUCUUCCAAGUUGGGAAGUAGUUUCUCUAUUGUUCCCUUUGUCAUUGUGGUGUCUGUUUGCACCAUUCUGACUAUGAUUGCUACCUUGCCUGUUGCACAGCUUUUCUUCUUUCACAUCCUCUUUGUUGAAAAGGGAAUCAGCACUUAUGA